This is a small nuclear RNA of Dipodomys spectabilis (banner-tailed kangaroo rat), 107 nucleotides long. The record is from RefSeq and is a predicted model, not a curated record. Lineage: Eukaryota; Metazoa; Chordata; Mammalia; Rodentia; Heteromyidae.
GUGCUCACUUCAGCAGCAUAUAUAUUAAAAUUGCAAUGAUACAGAGAAGAUUAGCAUGACCCCUGAGCAAACAUGACACACAAAUUCGUGAAGUGUUGCAUAUUUUU